CUGGCGGCGUGCCUAACACAUGCAAGUCGAACGGAGAUAUGAUUUCGGUUAUAUCUUAGUGGCGAACGGGUGAGUAACGCGUGAGCAACCUGACCUUCAGAGGGGGAUAACACUUGGAAACAGGUGCUAAUACCGCAUAAGACCACGACCCGACAUCGGGAUGCGGUCAAAGGAGCAAUCCGCUGAGGGAGGGGCUCGCGUCCCAUUAGAUAGAUGGCGGGGUAACGGCCCACCAUGUCGACGAUGGGUAGCCGAGCUGAGAGGCUGAUCGGCCACACUGGAACUGAGACACGGUCCAGACUCCUACGGGAGGCAGCAGUGGGGAAUAUUGGGCAAUGGGCGCAAGCCUGACCCAGCAACGCCGCGUGAGGGAAGAAGGCCUUCGGGUUGUAAACCUCUGUCCUUGGUGACGAAACAAAUGACGGUAGCCAAGGAGGAAGCCCCGGCUAACUACGUG
This 457-nucleotide ribosomal RNA is filed under the name uncultured bacterium. RNAcentral's name for it is "bacterial SSU rRNA". It matches the Rfam family "Bacterial small subunit ribosomal RNA", at positions 36 to 507 of the family's 1533-position model. The record is from RNAcentral.